This 135-nucleotide ribosomal RNA is filed under the name Engraulis encrasicolus (European anchovy). RNAcentral describes it as "partial 28S ribosomal RNA". Lineage: Eukaryota; Metazoa; Chordata; Actinopteri; Clupeiformes; Engraulidae. The record is from RNAcentral.
GGGACGGGCCCCCUGCCCCCGACGCGGCUGUCGACCGGUCCGGACUGUCCUCAGUCCGUGUCUGACCGCGCCGGCGGCCCAGGGCGGGGAUCGGCUCUCGUCGAGCGCUCGGGGUCUGCGGCGAAGCGGCUACCC